RNAcentral lists this unclassified non-coding RNA (334 nucleotides) under soil metagenome. RNAcentral describes it as "partial contains 5.8S ribosomal RNA, internal transcribed spacer 2, and large subunit ribosomal RNA". The stretch from base 5 to 119 matches the Rfam family "5.8S ribosomal RNA", at positions 40 to 154 of the family's 154-position model. The record is from RNAcentral.
GAUGAGAACGCAGCGAAAUGCGAUAAGUAAUGUGAAUUGCAGAAUUCAGUGAAUCAUCGAAUCUUUGAACGCACAUUGCGCCCGCCAGUAUUCUGGCGGGCAUGCCUGUUCGAGCGUCAUUUCAACCAUCAAGCCCCCGGGCUUGUGUUGGGGACCUGCGGCUGCCGCAGGCCCUGAAAACCAGUGGCGGGCUCGCUAGUCACUCCGAGCGUAGUAGUUACAUCUCGCUCAGGGCGUGCUGCGGGUUCCGGCCGUUAAAAGCCUUUUACCCCAAGGUUGACCUCGGAUCAGGUAGGAAGACCCGCUGAACUUAAGCAUAUCAAUAAGCGGAGGA